CCUACGGGUGGCAGCAGUGGGGAAUAUUGGGCAAUGGGCGCAAGCCUGACCCAGCAACGCCGCGUGAAGGAAGAAGGCUUUCGGGUUGUAAACUUCUUUUAAGAGGGAAGAGAAGAAGACGGUACCUCUUGAAUAAGCCACGGCCAACGACGUGCCAGCAGCCGGGGUAAUACGUAGGUGGCAAGCGUUGUCCGGAUUUACUGGGUGUAAAGGGCGUGGAGACGGGAGGACAAGUCUGAUGUGAAAUCCCGGGGCUCAACCGCGGAACUGCAUUUGAAACUGUCGGUCUUGAGUGCCGGAGAGGUAAGCGGAAUGCCUAGUGUAGCGGUGAAAUGCGUAGAUAUAAGGAAGAACACCAGUGGCGAAGGCGGAUGACUGGACGGCAACUGACGGUGAGGCGCGAAAGCGUGGGGAGCAAACAGGAUUAGAUACCCCGGUAGUC
This 442-nucleotide ribosomal RNA is filed under the name uncultured bacterium. Its description in RNAcentral is "partial 16S ribosomal RNA". It matches the Rfam family "Bacterial small subunit ribosomal RNA", at positions 338 to 795 of the family's 1533-position model. The record is from RNAcentral.